Long non-coding RNA from Asterias rubens (European starfish), 964 nucleotides. RefSeq lists it as uncharacterized. The transcript has 7 exons. Lineage: Eukaryota; Metazoa; Echinodermata; Asteroidea; Forcipulatida; Asteriidae. The record is from RefSeq and is a predicted model, not a curated record.
UUUAAAGCCAAAUGGAUGGCGUCCACAUUCGCCUUCUCGACAAACACAGUUUUUACCGAGUUCCAAGACAUUACUACCAUGAGAAAAGUGUGAUGAUACAGACAUGCCAUUGUCAGAUGAAGUCUACCUCCCCAAAGUAAUAGCAUCCUGCCCAGUGUCAAAGUACAAUGAUGUCUUCCUCAGUAAAAGGCUAGAAACAGACAUGCCAUUGUUAGACGCAGUCCACCUCUUCAAAGGUAAAUGCAACCUGCCCAGUGUCAAGGUACAACGAUGUAUUCACCAGCAAAAGAUAGUGUCUACCGGCUGAGACUUGAAAGUGCCUACCAUCAGCCCAAUGUCUAAACAUCACCAGCGUAGAUGUGUGAAGCUAAAAAACAGGCUAGGAACAGACAUGCCAUUGUCAGACGCAGUCCUCCUCUUCAAAGGUAAAUGCAACCUGCCCAGUGUCAAGGUACAACGAUGUCUUCUCCAGCAAAAGAUAGUUUCUACCUGCUGAGACUUGAAAGUGACUGCCACCAGCCCAAUGUCUACACACCAACAACAUAGAUGUGCAAAGCUAAAAACCAAGCAUGAGAAAGCUGACUUGCUACAACCAAGUGUGUAGCAAAUAACUUUCCCUCCAAUCAUGAAGGCUUCAGAAUUCGAGGUGAGCAACUCUCUUUAAGGCAUUCUACACAAGUAGUCAUGGAUGAACAACCAACCAACUUGAUGAAUUCAUUUGUAGAAUUGUAGAAAUGUUAAAUAAUAGAGAGGUUUCGCAAGUGUACGGAUACAGAUACAAUGAUACGUCAACACUUUGUGUGUUCACAUGACGCGUAUACGCAACUAUCGUAUUUUGCACAAACGUUAGCAAUGGAUAAGGGAGCUCGUACACGUCGUAGAAAAACAGAUACUGUUUUGCAGACUUUUAGUUCUCUUUUUGUCCCAGAUCAAAAACAUUUCCCAUGGAAUUGCUUUCACUGGU